AUUGAACGCUGGGCGGCAUGCCUUACACAUGCAAGUCGAACGGUAACGCGGGGCAACCUGGCGACGAGUGGCGAACGGGUGAGUAAUAUAUCGGAACGUGCCCAGUAGUGGGGGAUAGCCCGGCGAAAGCCGGAUUAAUACCGCAUACGACCUACGGGUGAAAGGCGGGGGAUCGCAAGACCUCGCGCUAUUGGAGCGGCCGAUAUCAGAUUAGGUAGUUGGUGGGGUAAAGCCUACCAAGCCUACGAUCUGUAGCUGGUCUGAGAGGACGACCAGCCACACUGGACUGAGACACGGCCCAGACUCCUACGGGAGGCAGCAGU
This 323-nucleotide ribosomal RNA is filed under the name uncultured bacterium. RNAcentral's name for it is "bacterial SSU rRNA". It matches the Rfam family "Bacterial small subunit ribosomal RNA", at positions 30 to 355 of the family's 1533-position model. The record is from RNAcentral.